This 184-nucleotide non-coding RNA is filed under the name Aerococcus christensenii. Its description in RNAcentral is "6S / SsrS RNA". It matches the Rfam family "6S / SsrS RNA". From Rfam's summary of the family: E. coli 6S RNA was the first non coding RNA to be sequenced, but its function was unknown until recently. It consists of 184 nucleotides that fold into an extended hairpin structure with a large single-stranded internal bulge. The record is from Rfam by way of RNAcentral. Lineage: Bacteria; Bacillati; Bacillota; Bacilli; Lactobacillales; Aerococcaceae.
AGGGAUCUAAAGUACACGUGAUUCUUUUUAUGUGCUGACCGAACAAUGACUAUCUAGGGAAUUGUGAACGUCUACAUAAGUAACGCCUUUUAUAGAAGGACUACUGAAGUCGGCUAUAUCAGUACCCACCUACUAUCACGUGGGUUCAGACAGAUAGAGUUUUAACGGUACACUUGGAAACCUG